GGUUGGAUCAUUAACGAAUUCAUAUGGUUCCGAGUUGUUGCCAUGGCCCUCGGGCUGUGGCGCGGCUCGGACUAUAUUAUCACCCCUCUUGUGAACCGUAAACGUACUUUGGCAGCCCUCCAAACCUCCAAUCGCGGAGAAUCUCUUUUUCCGCGGUUGGAAUGGGCUGUCAGCUUUCAUGCUAAACACCUGUUAUUUUACAAAUGAGUUUUAUAAAUGAGCAGCGAAAAGACCUUUUUUGUUAAAAGAGGGUUGGUAUCAAAGCUACAUUUCUUUAUUGAAAUGAUUUGAAAAAACAACUUUUGACAACGGAUCUCUUGGCUCUCGCAACGAUGAAGAACGUAGCGAAUUGCGAUAAGUAGUGUGAAUUGCAGAAUUCAGUGAAUCAUCGAAUCUUUGAACGUACAUUACACUCUUUGGUAUUCCGAGGAGUAUGUCUGUUUGAGAACCGUUUCAUUCCCUCACCAAUCUACUCGUUUCCUUGGAAACUGUACAUUGAGUGGAUUUGAGCUCUUCAGCGAUCAAAGGCUGAGGCUUGAAAUGGAUAAUCGAUGGUUUGAGCGCAAAAGCUCGGUUGUUCUCUUUUUUGAAAACAAUCGAAAAUAGGCUUUGAAUCGAUAGACUUGAUGAUGAGGGAUUUUGCAUCCUUCUUUUUCUUCAGUCGUUCUGAUUUUUGAAGUUGCUUUGGUUCCCACCGAUGAAACGAUUUUUAACAUGCCAGGCAUUCUCGACUUUUUGUCGGAAUGAACACCUGAACUCAUGGUCUCAAAUCAGACAAGAGAACCCGCUGAACUUAAGCAUAUCAAUAAGCGGAGGAAAAGAAACCAACUGGGAUUCCCUUAGUAACGGCGAGUGAAGCGGGAAAAGCUCAAUUUUGAAAUCUCUCAGGUUCCCUGAGCGAAUUGUAGUUUCUAGAAGCGCUUUCGGAGGCAGUCCGGGUAAAAGUCCGUUGGAACGCGGCAUCAUGGAGGGUGAGAAUCCCGUACCUGAUCCGGUAUCUGCUUCUGUGUGAUGCGUUUUCAAAGAGUCGGAUAGAUUGAGAAUUCUGUCCAAAAUGGGUGGUAAAUACCAUCUAAAGCUAAAUAUUGGCGAGAGACCGAUAGCGAACAAGUACCGUGAGGGAAAGAUGAAAAGAACUUUGAAAAGAGAGUUAAACAGUACGUGAAAUUGUCAAAAGGGAAACGCUUGAAACCAGUAUUGCGAUGCGCAAAUCAGUCGUUCCUUAGAACGGUGCACUUUGCGUUUUUGCGGGUCAGCAUCAGUUUUGUUCGGAGUAAAAAACUUUUGGAAGGUAGUUCCUCGUGAAUGUUAUAGCCAAGAGCCAUGCUUUGAACGGGACUGAGGUCUGCAGCUCUGCUUUUGGGACGUCUUCAGCCCUCUGACGUUCGGUAACGGACAGCUUGCUGAUCGCUGCCACACUUAGGAGGCCCUGGGGGCUUACACAACUGAGCUUAGGAUGCUGACGAAAUGGUUUUAAACGACCCGUCUUGAAACACGGACCAAGGAGUCCAACAAUUAUGCGAGUGUUUGGGUGGCAAACCCGAGCGCGAAAUGAAAGUGAAUGCAGGAGGGAUCCGCAAGGAGCACCUUCGACCGGUCUGGAUUUUUUUGAAAGAUCUGAGUAAGAGCAUAAUUGCUGGGACCCGAAAGAUGGUGAACUAUGCCUGAAUAGGGUGAAGCCAGAGGAAACUCUGGUGGAGGCUCGUAGCGGUUCUGACGUGCAAAUCGAUCGUCAAAUUUGGGUAUAGGGGCGAAAGACUAAUCGAACCAUCUAGUAGCUGGUUCCCUC
This 1789-nucleotide unclassified non-coding RNA is filed under the name uncultured fungus. Its description in RNAcentral is "sequence contains 18S rRNA gene, ITS1, 5.8S rRNA gene, ITS2, 28S rRNA gene". The stretch from base 761 to 1789 matches the Rfam family "Eukaryotic large subunit ribosomal RNA", at positions 1 to 961 of the family's 3401-position model. The record is from RNAcentral. Lineage: Eukaryota; Fungi.